RNAcentral lists this ribosomal RNA (434 nucleotides) under uncultured Clostridium sp. Its description in RNAcentral is "partial 16S ribosomal RNA". It matches the Rfam family "Bacterial small subunit ribosomal RNA", at positions 341 to 792 of the family's 1533-position model. Lineage: Bacteria; Bacillati; Bacillota; Clostridia; Eubacteriales; Clostridiaceae. RNAcentral also lists the same sequence under 1 other name. The record is from RNAcentral.
ACGGAAGGCAGCAGUGGGGAAUAUUGCACAAUGGGCGAAAGCCUGAUGCAGCGACGCCGCGUGAGUGAAGAAGUAUCUCGGUAUGUAAAGCUCUAUCAGCAGGGAAGAAAAUGACGGUACCUGACUAAGAAGCCCCGGCUAACUACGUGCCAGCAGCCGCGGUAAUACGUAGGGGGCAAGCGUUAUCCGGAUUUACUGGGUGUAAAGGGAGCGUAGACGGUUUGGCAAGUCUGAAGUGAAAUGCGGGGGCUCAACUCCUGAACUGCUUUGGAAACUGUCGAACUAGAGUGCAGGAGAGGUAAGUGGAAUUCCUAGUGUAGCGGUGAAAUGCGUAGAUAUUAGGAGGAACACCAGUGGCGAAGGCGGCUUACUGGACUGUAACUGACGUUGAGGCUCGAAAGCGUGGGGAGCGAACAGGAUUAGAUACCCUGGUA